CUGGCUGUUGUGUUACAGUACCUUGUGGGAAGAAGAACCCAGAGAGCCAGUAGGAGCGAGGCUUCCUGUUCUUGAGGCUCUGCUGCAGGUUGAUCUUGAUGUUGUCUGCCCAGGCUCUGAAGAACCACACUCUCUGUUCCAGGUCCUGGAUCCAAGAACCCAGAGACAUGCACGACUCGUAUGAGCAGUGCUACCAAGGCAACAACAAAAGACAGAAAGAUUACUUCUUGUCCAAGUUGAAUCAAUUGCUUUUCAUUGCUUUGUUUAUUUAGACUCUAGAGGAUAAUGACACCUUGGGCUUGGAGGAACAUUUCAAAAUGUCAAAACUGACGUGAAGCAUGGAAUUGGGUUAAAACAUCAAGGUAGAUUGUGUGCAGUGAGAGCUGAGCUGUGGAGAGUAUUUACUUCAGGGUUGAGCAAACUAGAGCCUAUUCAACCCAGCCUGCGGGAGGUUUGAGUAAAAAUAAGAAAGAAACGGAGGGCCCGCAAAAAACGAAUCUGUGCGGCCCUCCACUGAAUUUCAAAAUCCUGAUGUGGCCCUUAAGGCAAAAAGUUUGCCCACCCCUGGUUUACUAAUAUACUGUACCUUCCAGUCUGAUGGUACGAUCAUGGUGAGCAGGGCAGUGUAGACCUCGGCCAGAGCCUCACUCAUCAGCACCCCUCCUCUGAUGGAGGCAGAGAAGGAGAGGAGGCUGGAGCGUACCACACAGAGGAGGUAGUUAAACCGAUCAAUCUCCUGUCGCAGGAUCACCAGCAGGGCAGAGGAGGCCGAGGCUGUGCGUCUCUCACCUUCAGAGUACAUACACGGAUGCACCCAUACGCACGCAUACAGACACACACAAGGCGGCUUUCAGUAAGAACUAUGAACAAAAAUGGACACAGAUAGAUAUAUAGAAUCUCUCAAUGUCCCUCUCACUCUCCCUAAGUCUCACUCUUAGAGGCAAAAUAAGAAAAGGUACAACCUGUGAAAAAUGAUUUCCUUUUCAGAGGACAAUACAUUUAUUCUAAUCUAUUCGUAGCCCUUUACCCUUGUACCCAUAUACAGGUUGAUAAAAAUGGCUGAUAAGUGACUAAAUUGGAACGCAGUGGCUGUACAGUAACAUGCUCUAAAUGACGUCAGAGCUCUGGCUAUGCACUUCACAGCUCUGUAUGGGUUUUGACUGGCAGACGUUCUGAACUUGAGCAACACACGUGACUAGAAGUUGCCCCCAUCCCUCCAGCUAAUUGGGUCACUUUUGACAAUUUUUUGUUGUCUGGGUGAUAGAAAUGCUGUAAAUUAAAAUUACUAUGUAUUUUGAGAGAUGAGACAUUGAGGAUUAUCAUAAAUACCACCUUUAUGUCAUACAAGCAAGCCAAACACCUGUGAGUCCAAACGUGCACUUCACAUUUCCAAAUCAUAAAACUCAGGGAUGCAGGGUUGUGUUCGAAACAAAACAACUAUAAGUGUUCUUUCUCUAGCUCCUCAACGUCUUGAAGACUCUUUGAGUCAUAAAAGUGCAUUGAAAUUACUUAGGAACCGUGCACACUUUGAGAGGUUAUUGGCCACUUGUAGACCAGUUAGCCCUCUAUCUCAAGCCCUUGUCAUUUUUUGGUCUUAAUGUUCUCCUACCCCACAUUUUCUAGGAAUAUUUUUACUGAAUAUAUCCAGAGUAUUUUCUGAUUUCGUAAACAAGUGUGGUGAAAAGUACAUUAAAUGUAAAAUGCACAUAAAAUCAA
Salvelinus fontinalis (brook trout) is the source of this 1716-nucleotide long non-coding RNA. RefSeq lists it as uncharacterized. NCBI's taxonomy places the organism in Eukaryota, Metazoa, Chordata, Actinopteri, Salmoniformes, Salmonidae. The record is from RefSeq and is a predicted model, not a curated record. The transcript is spliced from 2 exons.